This 391-nucleotide ribosomal RNA is filed under the name uncultured bacterium. RNAcentral's name for it is "bacterial SSU rRNA". It matches the Rfam family "Bacterial small subunit ribosomal RNA", at positions 362 to 769 of the family's 1533-position model. The record is from RNAcentral.
UCUUGCGCAAUGGCCGAAAGGCUGACGCAGCGACGCCGCGUGCGGGAGGAAGCCCUUCGGGUUGUAAAGGGCUUUUCUGGCUGACGAGGAAGGACGGUAGGCCAGGAAUAAGCGUCGGCUAACUACGUGCCAGCAGCCGCGGUAAAACGUAGGACGCGAGCGUUAUCCGGAUUUACUGGGCGUAAAGCGCGGGCAGGCGGUGGUCCAAGUCGGACGUGAAAGCUCCCGGCUCAACUGGGAGAGGUCGUUCGAAACUGGGCCGCUAGAGGGCAGUAGAGGGGCGUGGAAUUCCGGGUGGAGUGGUGAAAUGCGUAGAGAUCCGGAGGAACACCAGAGGCGAAGGCGGCGCCCUGGGCUGCACCUGACGCUGAGCCGCGAAAGCUAGGGGAGC